Non-coding RNA from Oryctolagus cuniculus (rabbit), 1297 nucleotides. NCBI's taxonomy places the organism in Eukaryota, Metazoa, Chordata, Mammalia, Lagomorpha, Leporidae. The record is from RefSeq and is a predicted model, not a curated record.
CCAAGUUAUUAUUUUUUAAUGUAAUAAUAAGUCUAGUUAUAACCAGUACAGAAUAGUGCACCAGCUUGAGUAAAUCAUCAAGAAUCUAUGCCUCUUCCAGCCCCUUCCUCAAGUAUAUUUUGUUUCCUGGUUGUCACAGCUGCUCCUCUGCUACCUAUCACAUUUGCAUUCCAGGUAUGCUGACAUGGCAUCAGUGCCCUUGCCCUGACCUUGAACUCCGGGUGGUGCCAAGCAAAGUCACCAGGCACUCACUCAGGUUGCAACAUGCGUUUCUGCACCUUCAGAUCUCGAAAGCACAGAGGCCCUUUCAUGCUCUUUGGGCCAGCCUUGAUUAUGCCCCAAAAGGCCUCAGGAGUAGAGCCGCUGGCCCUGCAAGCUGGGUUUCAGGAGAGGACAACAGCUUUCCUUCAAAGGGCAAGAUUGAAGCCGAUUUCCAACAGUAACAGAAACUCCUUGAGCACGUUGAUGUGGUGCAGGUAAAGUAGGCAGCUCCCUCGUUUCCAGAAGGCUCCUACCUUCCCCUCCUGGGCCACGGCCUGUGCUCCAGCAAGCAGCUUCCCUUCUGCACCUAUAAACUCCUUAUCUCCGUCCCCUCCUUGAACGCCUUACUCUUCACACCUUCUCCUCUAAGGAGUGCUCGAAAUGAUUUCCAGAGUGUACUUCAGUUCUCGGCUUCUCUUAGGACAGAACAAACACCUGUUAGCACCUAAGGGAGGGUUUGACUUUCCCUUAGUCUCACCUCCCAUCACUGCCCCUCCCGUCCACUGGAGACAGAUCACCUACCUAAGGAAGCCUUCCAAACCUCACGCCCAUGCACGCGUGCACACACACACUCACACAGGGCCAUGGAACUUUUGCUUACAUGGGGUUACACUAAAAGUUGACCACUCAAGUUCUCCACAAUGCUUUGAACAUAGAAGCUAAGUCUAGCUAGAAUACAUCUUACUUGAAUCAUCUUGGAUAUACAGGAAUUUGAAUUCAUUUGGCAUAUCAGAAUCUGGUUUGUUAUAUAAGUAGGACCAAAUACUUUUCAGGGCUUCUGGGUGUUUUCUAACACUGAAUUGUAGAGGAGACGCAUAACUUCUUUGUUUAUUAAUAUGUGUAUGCCUUUUUGCGGGUUCUUCUUCAUCAAUUUGCUGAAACAUGAUGAAUUGUUACCUUAAUUUGACUUCUGAGCCCUUGUGUCCACAAUACCUCCUGUCUUUGGAAAGGGCUAAUUCUUGUUAUUUAUUUAUUUAUAAUGAUCCCUUUCUUGCACAAUUACAAAAAAAAAUAGAAAAACAGAUUUGAAGCAAUU